RNAcentral lists this ribosomal RNA (189 nucleotides) under uncultured bacterium. RNAcentral's name for it is "partial 16S ribosomal RNA". It matches the Rfam family "Bacterial small subunit ribosomal RNA", at positions 1307 to 1500 of the family's 1533-position model. The record is from RNAcentral.
GCAACUCGACUCCAUGAAGCUGGAUUCGCUAGUAAUCGCGCAUCAGCCAUGGCGCGGUGAAUAACGUUCCCGGGCCUUGUACACACCGCCCGUCAAGCCAUGGGAGUCGGGAGUGCCUGAAGUUCGUGACCGUCACAGGAGCGACCUAAGGCAAGACCGAUGACUGGGGCUAAGUCGUAACAAGGUAGC